CGGCAACAGCUCAAAUUUGAAAUCUGGCUCUUUCAGGGUCCGAGUUGUAAUUUGUAGAAGAUGCUUCGGGUGUGGCUCUGGUCUAAGUUCCUUGGAACAGGACGUCAUAGAGGG
This 114-nucleotide ribosomal RNA is filed under the name Xenopolyscytalum sp. RNAcentral's name for it is "partial large subunit ribosomal RNA". The record is from RNAcentral. Lineage: Eukaryota; Fungi; Ascomycota; Leotiomycetes; Helotiales; Hamatocanthoscyphaceae.